UCCGAUGUAGUCUAGUGGUUAUAAUUUGCGGCUCUCACCCGCAAGGCCCGGGUUCGAUUCCCGGCAUGGGAA
Molecule: transfer RNA, 72 nt
Filed under: Pristionchus pacificus
Lineage: Eukaryota; Metazoa; Nematoda; Chromadorea; Rhabditida; Neodiplogasteridae
Description: tRNA-Glu (CTC) (tRNA-Glu-CTC-7-1)
Rfam family: tRNA
About the family: Transfer RNA (tRNA) molecules are approximately 80 nucleotides in length. Their secondary structure includes four short double-helical elements and three loops (D, anti-codon, and T loops).
Source: Rfam by way of RNAcentral